CAGAGAAUAGUUUAAUUAUAAAAUAGUAACAUUGGAAGUUAUAGAUUAAAUUUUUUUUAUUUUCUGA
Molecule: transfer RNA, 67 nt
Filed under: Bolitaena pygmaea
Lineage: Eukaryota; Metazoa; Mollusca; Cephalopoda; Octopoda; Bolitaenidae
Description: tRNA-Pro
Source: RNAcentral